UGAGUAAUGUAUGGGGAGUCUGCCCGAUAGAGGGGGAGUAACUACUGGAAACGGUGGCUAAUACCGCAUAAUGUCUACGGACCAAAGCAGGGGCUCUUCGGACCUUGCACUAUCGGAUGAACCCAUAUGGGAUUAGCUAGUAGGUGGGGUAAAGGCUCACCUAGGCGACGAUCUCUAGCUGGUCUGAGAGGAUGAUCAGCCACACUGGGACUGAGACACGGCCCAGACUCCUACGGGAGGCAGCAUG
RNAcentral lists this ribosomal RNA (247 nucleotides) under uncultured bacterium. Its description in RNAcentral is "partial 16S ribosomal RNA". It matches the Rfam family "Bacterial small subunit ribosomal RNA", at positions 107 to 353 of the family's 1533-position model. The record is from RNAcentral.